This is a long non-coding RNA of Taeniopygia guttata (zebra finch), 839 nucleotides long. RefSeq lists it as uncharacterized. NCBI's taxonomy places the organism in Eukaryota, Metazoa, Chordata, Aves, Passeriformes, Estrildidae. The record is from RefSeq and is a predicted model, not a curated record.
UUUUCAGUAAAGUUGGGCAGCGAGCCUUAACGAAGCGAGGGCUGUUAUCACCUCUCCUUAGCCCUUUAAGUGCAGCAGGCUCUUUGGUGUCUCUCGCUGAAUGCCGCUUUGUUAAUUGCGACGGUAAACAGGACACAGCGCUGACCAUCGCCGUGUUUUGCUCAGGCGGCACUUACCACAAAACCACUGGAUUUGGGAAAGGAGCCUGAGUCCAGGGGGAGUCACACACGAAAGAGGAUAUUUCUGGAUACUGUCACAGCAUCUGAGGAACCAUAUUCCAGCUGUUCUCAGACUUUUCCAUUUCUGGAAGCCUACCCCUCCUUCAGCUCCAACCACAGAUGUCCACACAAUAGAAAUUCAGUCAUUCUCCAAGAGGCAACUUGCUUGAUGACAAUCAGCAGUCCUGUCACUUUCAGAUGUCACCAACUAUCUCUUGCUGCUGCUUUACUUCAGGUUUGAAGUUCCCUCUGCUCUUUGCUCUUUUCUGCUUGAAAAAUCCUUCCCACCCUGGUGUCUAAAUACUUGGGAAAGGAUUUUCAAAACACCCAAAAAUGUAUGCGGGAUACUUCAGAUUUUGUUUAAAAAGAAAGAAAAAAGGAAUAAACCUUCAGAGCCCUAUUUGAUUCCUCAUGUCUUUAAACUCAACACUAAUAUACAGAACUAGACUGGAUCCUAAUUUCUAAUAACUUGUAGUAAGUUAAUAUUCUAGUUAAUUUUUACAAUAUUACAUAUUAAGCUUACCUUUAUGUUGAUCACUUGAACACAUGCUAUGUUGCUCAAAUAUGUACAUGUAGAAUGCUUGGUGUGUACCCACAAAUAAUAAAGAAAGAAUUAAACUG